GGUUCGAUUCUGGCUCAGAUUGAACGCUCAGUGACGUUUACACACAUGCAAGUCGUGAACGGCAGCACGGACUUCGGUCUGGUGGCGAGUGGCGAACGGGUGAGUAAUGUAUCGGAACGUGCCUAGUAGCGGGGGAUAAUUCACAGCGGAAAGGGUAGCUAAUACCGCAUACGCCUCCUUCGGGGGAAAGCGGGGACCUUCGGGCCUUCGCACUAUUAGAGCGGCCGAUAUCGGAUUAGCUAGUUGGUGGGGUAACGGCUCACCAUAUGACGAUCCGUAGCUGGUUUGAGAGGACGAACAGCCACACUGGGACUGGAGACACGGCCCAGACUCCUACGGGAGGCAGUGGGAAUUCUUGGACAAUGGGGAAACUCGAUCCAGCCAUCCGCGUGCGGGGCACAGAAGGCCUUCGGGUUGUAAAGCACUUUUGGCAGGAAAAGAAACGCACGGGAUAAUACCCCGUGCAACUGACGGUACCUGCAGAACAGCACCGGCUAACUACGUGCCGCCGCGGCAAUACGCAGGUGCAAGCGUUAAUCGGGAAUUACUGGGCGUAAAGCGUGCGCAGUAUUCUGAAAGAAAGAUGUGAAAUCCCAGAGCUUAACUUUGAACUGCAUUUUUAACUACCGAGCUAGAGUGCGGUCAGAGGGAGGUGUGGAAUUCCGCGUAGCAGUGAAAUGCGUAGAUAUGCGGAGGAACACCGAUGGCGAAGGCAGCCUCCUGGGAUAACACUGGACGCUCAUGCACGAAAGCGUGGGGAGCAAACAGGAUUAGAUACCCUGGUAGUCCACGCCCUAAACGAUGUCAAUUCAGCUGUUGGGGCCUUCUGCCUUGCAGCGCAGCUAACGCGAAGUUGACCGCUUGGGAGUACGGUCGCAAGAUUAAAACUCAAAGAAUUGAUGACCCGCACAAGUGUGGAUGAUGGAUUAAUUCGAUGCAACGCGAAAAACCUUACCUACCUUGACAUGUCUGGGAAUCCGAAGAGAUUUUGGGAGUGCUUGCAAGAGAACCGGAACACAGGUGCUGCAUGGCUGUCGUCAGCUCGUGUCGUGAGAUGUUGGGUUAAGUCCCGCAACGAGCGCAACCCUCUUUGUCAUUAGUUGCUGGCUUAGGCACCGACGGAUCGCCGGUGACAAACCGAGGAAGGUGGGAUGACGUCAAGUCCUCAUGGCCCUACGGGCAGGGCUUCACACGUCAUACAAUGGUCGGGACAGAGGGUCGCCAACCUGGCGAGGGGGUUUCAAUCCCAGAACCCGGGAUCGUAGUCCGGAUCGCAGUUCGCAACCUGACUGCGGAAGUCGGAAUCGCUAGCAAUCGCGGAUCAGCAUGUCGCGGUGAAUACGUUCCGGUCUUGUACACACCGCCCGUCACACCAGCGGAGUGGGUUUUACCAGAAGUAGUUAGCCUAACCGUAAGGAGGGCGAUUACUACGGUGAGAUUCACGACUGGGGUGAAGUCGUACGCGUAG
Molecule: ribosomal RNA, 1468 nt
Filed under: uncultured Bordetella sp.
Lineage: Bacteria; Pseudomonadati; Pseudomonadota; Betaproteobacteria; Burkholderiales; Alcaligenaceae
Description: partial 16S-23S ribosomal RNA intergenic spacer
Rfam family: Bacterial small subunit ribosomal RNA
Source: RNAcentral